GGGCGUAGUUCAAUGGUAGAACACUAGCCUUCCAAGCUAGAUACGUGGGUUCGAUUCC
Molecule: transfer RNA, 58 nt
Filed under: human gut metagenome
Rfam family: tRNA
About the family: Transfer RNA (tRNA) molecules are approximately 80 nucleotides in length.
Source: RNAcentral